This 240-nucleotide unclassified non-coding RNA is filed under the name soil metagenome. RNAcentral describes it as "partial contains 5.8S ribosomal RNA, internal transcribed spacer 2, and large subunit ribosomal RNA". The record is from RNAcentral.
AACAAGGCGUACCUGCGGACCUGCGGAGGGAUCAUUACAGAGUUCGUGCCCUCGCGGGUAGAUCUCCCACCCUUGUGUAUUCCUUACAUUUUGUUGCUUUGGCAGGCCGUUGGUUCGCCAACCACCGGCUCUACGGGCUGGUGCGUGCCUGCCAGAGGACCCCCCAAACUCGGUUUGUUAGUGUCGUCUGAGUAACCAUAACAAUCGUUAAAACUUUCAACAACGGAUCUCAGAUCGGAA